This 424-nucleotide ribosomal RNA is filed under the name uncultured prokaryote. RNAcentral's name for it is "bacterial SSU rRNA". It matches the Rfam family "Bacterial small subunit ribosomal RNA", at positions 355 to 796 of the family's 1533-position model. The record is from RNAcentral.
UGGGGAAUAUUGGACAAUGGGCGCAAGCCUGAUCCAGCCAUGCCGCGUGAGUGAUGAAGGCCCUAGGGUUGUAAAGCUCUUUCACCGGUGAAGAUAAUGACGGUAACCGGAGAAGAAGCCCCGGCUAACUUCGUGCCAGCAGCCGCGGUAAUACGAAGGGGGCUAGCGUUGUUCGGAAUAACUGGGCGUAAAGCGCACGUAGGCGGACAUUUAAGUCAGAGGUGAAAUCCCAGGGCUCAACCCUGGAACUGCCUUUGAUACUGGGUGUCUUGAGUCCGAGAGAGGUGAGUGGAAUUCCGAGUGUAGAGGUGAAAUUCGUAGAUAUUCGGAGGAACACCAGUGGCGAAGGCGGCUCACUGGCUCGGUACUGACGCUGAGGUGCGAAAGCGUGGGGAGCAAACAGGAUUAGAUACCCCCGUAGUCC